UGGGGAAUUUUGGACAAUGGGCGCAAGCCUGAUCCAGCCAUACCGCGUGAGUGAAGAAGGCCUUCGGGUUGUAAAGCUCUUUCAGACGGAAAGAAACGGUCGCGGCUAAUACCCGCGACUAAUGACGGUACCGUAAGAAGAAGCACCGGCUAACUACGUGCCAGCAGCCGCGGUAAUACGUAGGGUGCGAGCGUUAAUCGGAAUUACUGGGCGUAAAGCGCGCGCAGGCGGUUUGGUAAGACAGAUGUGAAAUCCCCGGGCUUAACCUGGGAACUGCAUUUGUGACUGCCAGACUAGAGUGUAGCAGAGGGGGGUAGAAUUCCACGUGUAGCAGUGAAAUGCGUAGAUAUGUGGAGGAAUACCGAUGGCGAAGGCGGCUAACUGGUCCGGUACUGACGCUGAGGUGCGAAAGCGUGGGGAGCAAACAGGAUUAGAUACCCAGGUAGUCCCUGAGCGGGCUGGCAAGGCGCAU
This 472-nucleotide ribosomal RNA is filed under the name uncultured bacterium. RNAcentral's name for it is "bacterial SSU rRNA". It matches the Rfam family "Bacterial small subunit ribosomal RNA", at positions 355 to 825 of the family's 1533-position model. The record is from RNAcentral.